RNAcentral lists this ribosomal RNA (237 nucleotides) under uncultured bacterium. RNAcentral describes it as "partial 16S ribosomal RNA". It matches the Rfam family "Bacterial small subunit ribosomal RNA", at positions 96 to 334 of the family's 1533-position model. The record is from RNAcentral.
UGGCGAACGGGUGAGUAACACGUGGGUGAUCUGCCCUGCACUUUGGGAUAAGCCUGGGAAACUGGGUCUAAUACCGAAUAUGAUCAUGGCCUUCAUGGGUUGUGGUGGAAAGCUUUUGCGGUGUGGGAUGGGCCCGCGGCCUAUCAGCUUGUUGGUGGGGUAAUGGCCUACCAAGGCGACGACGGGUAGCCGGCCUGAGAGGGUGUCCGGCCACACUGGGACUGAGAUACGGCCCAG